GUGCUCGCUUCGGCAGCACAUAUACUAAAAUUGGAACGAUACAGAGAAGAUUAGCAUGGCCCCUGCGCAAGGAUGAAAUGAGGACAUGAAGUAAAGUUAU
This 100-nucleotide small nuclear RNA is filed under the name Canis lupus familiaris (dog). Lineage: Eukaryota; Metazoa; Chordata; Mammalia; Carnivora; Canidae. The record is from RNAcentral.